Pelobates cultripes (western spadefoot toad) is the source of this 1477-nucleotide non-coding RNA. The record is from the annotation of a GenBank genome assembly. NCBI's taxonomy places the organism in Eukaryota, Metazoa, Chordata, Amphibia, Anura, Pelobatidae.
AAGACAAUAUAAAUGGGAACAUCUUGCCUUAAAAAAAAAUAAUUAACAAAAUAGAACUAUAUGUUGAACUUUUAUGAUUAGGAUUGAAUUUUUUUGAGAACGUUUAAAAGUGCAUUUCAACGUAAGCCUCUUUAAUCUCUAAAGGAAAUCUAUACUAAGAGAAAUACCCAAAGAUGUCAUACUUUUGAAUAUAGACAAAAGCCGAAUGUGAUUGUUUACUAGACAGACGAUGGAAGUUAAUUGGUUUUACAACAGAUUGUCAAGUAUGUGCUUUCUUAUUAGAUGUACAUUAAUAUGGUAUUAAUCAUGUUUAUUUGAAAUAAGUAUGGAAUCUAAAAAUUGAUUACAGUUAGUAUGAUCUUUGAUCCAUUGGGACAUCUGCACGUUUUGUAUUUGUCUGCGCACAUUGUGCAUUCUUUUCCCUAAGCUGUACAGGACUGCAGAUGGUUUUGGUGCCUUAAAAAUACCAAUAUUAAUAUCUAAUAAUAAACAGACCUUUGGCUGACUAUUUCCCUAUUUCAAGUGGACUUGAUUGGCCUUUGUUUUUAUCAUUUUAUAUUUGUAUUAAUCUGCCCAUACUUUAUACAUAUUUUUUGUUUUUAUUCCAACUAUUCGCAAUACCGGACUUAUUCGAAGUAUUGUGUUUGUUUUACCAGUACGAAUUGUUGCCAGAUUCUCGUUAUUAAGUGCUGCUUGGGAGAUUUUUUGAAUAUAAUUAGUGCAUUUGACUCCACCAAGAAUGAUCUCCCAUAGAGUAUGCUUAAAAUCUUGGAUAUUUAUAUUAAGUUACAUCACUUUGAAAGUGAAGAUGAACUGUCACCCUAAUGAAAGAUAGAUUUGCGUGGUGGUGGUGGGUGUGUGUGUGUGUGUGUGUUUUUCCUCAGGUGGAUUUGGCUCUUAUAUAAACUCUGUCCCAGGGAACAAUCUAAUAUGAACCACUUGCCUGUAUUUAAGCAGAAAUAUUACGAUUCAAGCCUUUUUGAAUCUAGAAGUUGUAGUUUUAGUUAAGCACAUGCUUUUGUGUAUCCUCCCAUAAUCUACUUUGUACUGAAGAGAUGUCAAGCUGUUUUGUAUAUAGUGCUACUGAUGUUGAACAUUAGUACAUAUUACAAGACAAUGUUUCUUGCUAUUUGUAUGUAUACCUAGAAGGACAAACCUCUGUAUAUAUGUUGCCUAGAUGUUUCAAAAUUGGUUUGUGCUAUGUCUUGCAAUCUUGUAAGAUAAUCAAAGUGUGCAAUAAAUCUUCAUUAUACAUCACAAUGUUUUCUCUUUAAACAAUCCUCGUGGCUUUAUUAAACCAUCUGCACAUGAAACAUUCUUCGAUUUAAAAAAAAUUUGAUCAGUUGUGUAAUAUUUACAAAUCUGAUUAUGUAUAACCUGUUUAAGAAAUUCAAUUUUUUUAAUCAAUAGAGAUACUUUCACUGUAAAAUGAUUGUCACAUUUCUAGAAAUAAAGAUUUCUAUUUUUUUCCAUACAA